RNAcentral lists this ribosomal RNA (559 nucleotides) under uncultured bacterium. Its description in RNAcentral is "bacterial SSU rRNA". It matches the Rfam family "Bacterial small subunit ribosomal RNA", at positions 338 to 917 of the family's 1533-position model. The record is from RNAcentral.
CCUACGGGAGGCAGCAGUGGGGAAUCUUGCACAAUGGAGGAAACUCUGAUGCAGCGAUGCCGCGUGAGUGAAGAAGGCCCUUGGGUUGUAAGGCUCUUUCGUCGGGGAAGAAAAUGACUGUACCCGAAUAAGAAGGUCCGGCUAACUUCGUGCCAGCAGCCGCGGUAAUACGAAGGGACCUAGCGUAGUUCGGAAUUACUGGGCUUAAAGAGUUCGUAGGUGGUUGAAAAAGUUGGUGGUGAAAUCCCAGAGCUUAACUCUGGAACUGCCAUCAAAACUUUUCAGCUAGAGUAUGAUAGAGGAAAGCAGAAUUUCUAGUGUAGAGGUGAAAUUCGUAGAUAUUAGAAAGAAUACCAAUUGCGAAGGCAGCUUUCUGGAUCAUUACUGACACUGAGGAACGAAAGCAUGGGUAGCGAAGAGGAUUAGAUACCCUCGUAGUCCAUGCCGUAAACGAUGUGUGUUAGACGUUGGAAAUUUAUUUUCAGUGUCGCAGCGAAAGCGAUAAACACACCGCCUGGGGAGUACGACCGCAAGGUUAAAACUCAAAUGAAUUGACGGA